GCGGACGGGUGAGUAACACGUGGGCAACCUGCCUGUAAGAUCGGGAUAACGCCGGGAAACCGGGGCUAAUACCGGAUAGUUUUUUCCUCCGCAUGGAGGAAAAAGGAAAGACGGCUUCGGCUGUCACUUACAGAUGGGCCCGCGGCGCAUUAGCUUGUUGGUGGGGUAACGGCUCACCAAGGCAACGAUGCGUAGCCGACCUGAGAGGGUGAUCGGCCACAUUGGGACUGAGACACGGCCCAAACUCCUACGGGAGGCAGCAGUAGGGAAUCUUCCGCAAUGGACGAAAGUCUGACGGAGCAACGCCGCGUGAGUGAAGAAGGCCUUCGGGUCGUAAAACUCUGUUGCCGGGGAAGAACAAGUGCCGUUCGAACAGGGCGGCGCCUUGACGGUACCCGGCCAGAAAGCCACGGCUAACUACGUGCCAGCAGCCGCGGUAAUACGUAGGUGGCAAGCGUUGUCCGGAAUUAUUGGGCGUAAAGCGCGCGCAGGCGGCUUCUUAAGUCUGAUGUGAAAUCUUGCGGCUCAACCGCAAGCGGUCAUUGGAAACUGGGAGGCUUGAGUGCAGAAGAGGAGAGUGGAAUUCCACGUGUAGCGGUGAAAUGCGUAGAGAUGUGGAGGAACACCAGUGGCGAAGGCGGCUCUCUGGUCUGUAACUGACGCUGAGGCGCGAAAGCGUGGGGAGCAAACAGGAUUAGAUACCCUGGUAGUCCACGCCGUAAACGAUGAGUGCUAAGUGUUAGAGGGUUUCCGCCCUUUAGUGCUGCAGCUAACGCAUUAAGCACUCCGCCCUGGGGGAGUACAGCCGCAAGAGCUGCAAACUCAACGUAAUUAGACGGGGCGCGCCGCACCAGCUGAUGCAGCAUGAUGGUCUUGAAUACGAAUCGACGCGU
RNAcentral lists this ribosomal RNA (893 nucleotides) under Heyndrickxia coagulans. RNAcentral describes it as "bacterial SSU rRNA". It matches the Rfam family "Bacterial small subunit ribosomal RNA", at positions 98 to 964 of the family's 1533-position model. The record is from RNAcentral. Lineage: Bacteria; Bacillati; Bacillota; Bacilli; Caryophanales; Bacillaceae.